Molecule: long non-coding RNA, 939 nt
Filed under: Homo sapiens (human)
Lineage: Eukaryota; Metazoa; Chordata; Mammalia; Primates; Hominidae
Description: HSALNT0059352
Source: RNAcentral
GGCUAGGGAUGGGUGCUGAAGUAUCAGGCUCUGGCUCUAGCUUUAGCUCUGGCACUGGAACUGCGUCGGAGUCUGGGUCUGAGUCUGGCAGCCCGAAGCCUGGACACCUUUUCUUGAUUCUCUAGGCGGGGGCUGCCUGCGUCCAAGCAGCUGGUUUGCAGCGUUCCAACGCUGGGAGGGAGUUCCCUUACCUGGGGUCCAGUCUGUAAAGUUGUCGCCGCUUUCUAGGGACCCCGCCCCACCGGCUGGGACUCUUCCAUGCAGUUGAAACUGGUUGACAACCAUUAACCUGGGUUGCAACUACAGGUGGCACUGGAAGCAGACUGGUUCCUGGACAUGCCCGGUGGAAGGAGGGGCCCUAGUCGGCAACAGCUAAGCCGUUCAGCUUUACCUUCUUUGCAGACUUUGGUUGGUGGAGGCUGUGGCAAUGGAACAGGCUUGAGAAACAGAAGAAGGGAGAAGUGAAUGAAAAUACAAGGAAUGGUAGUGCUAUUGGCCUUCCAGUCCCACCUAUCACAGCCUUAAUCACCCCAGGUCCUGUUCGUCAUUGCCAAAUUCCUGACUUGCCUGUGGAUGGGAGCCUACUCUUUGAAUUCCUUUUUUUCAUCUACCUGUUGGUUGCUCUUUUCAUUCAGUACAUCAACAUUUAUAAAACAGUGUGGUGGUAUCCUUACAAUCAUCCUGCUUCUUGUACAUCACUGAAUUUUCAUCUCAUUGAUUAUCAUCUGGCAGCAUUCAUCACAGUGAUGCUUGCGAGGAGGCUUGUAUGGGCUCUCAUCUCAGAGGCUACUAAGGCAGGUGCAGCAUCAAUGAUUCACUACAUGGUUCUGAUAUCAGCUCGCUUGGUACUACUCACUUUGUGUGGAUGGGUACUUUGUUGGACCCUCGUCAAUCUCUUUCGAAGCCAUUCAGUCCUCAAUCUCCUUUUCCUUGGCUACC